This 773-nucleotide long non-coding RNA is filed under the name Olea europaea subsp. europaea. The record is from RNAcentral. Lineage: Eukaryota; Viridiplantae; Streptophyta; Magnoliopsida; Lamiales; Oleaceae.
AGAUCCUAUGUGUCCUCUAACUCGGUUAAUUAUUGCCACCUAGACAUUCAACUAACAUUUUCCCUUCAUUUAAUUGAACUCACAUUUGUCCCUUCAAUUUUUCAUUAAUUCUUUCCCAAUUCUUGCCUUGACUAUGAACCCAUUUCUUUUCCCCAACAAAUCAAUUUCUAUCAAAAUCAGGAAACAAUCCCCCCUUCCAAACCAAUCUUCCCAAGCACAAAAGGUAUCGAAAUCACUUGAAAUUGCCCUCAAAUUGAAACUGUUUUGCUUGGGUAGAUCCACCAGUGCAUCCACGCUUUCAGUAACCCAUAAUUCAUCUAUUCAUUCUAGCUAGCCACUGUGCUCGAUAGAUCGUGAGAAGCAUCUCACUCAUCAAGAGCAAGUUCAAUUCCAUGGUUGAAGCUUUUCCCACGAGCAUCUUCUGCCUUUGGUUUGCUGUAUUAUGAAGCUCCACAUGAGAUGGAUUUUGUAGGAUUUUUUAUUACUAAAAUUACAAAUAAAGAAUUGGAAAUUGUUGGAAAAAUGAAUAGGUUGUUGUGGGUUUUUCAAUAUGUAGUUGGUAUGUUGGUGGUUUUGCAAGUUGUAUAUUGACGGUGUAGGAAUGUUAGUGAUGUUAUGUUUCAGCUCAAUGGUUGUAAUGGUAGGUGUAUUAGUGUUGAUGGUUGUGGAGUCAUAAUAAGAAACUUGAUGUAUUUUAUAGUUUCAAAUUGAAUGGGUUCCUUUUUGUUCAUCUUAGUUAUAUUUAUGUUGGUUAAUGCCAUUUUACAAGGAAG